Molecule: ribosomal RNA, 301 nt
Filed under: uncultured bacterium
Lineage: Bacteria
Description: partial 16S ribosomal RNA
Rfam family: Bacterial small subunit ribosomal RNA
Source: RNAcentral
CAGUAGCCGCGGUAAUACGAAGGGUGCAAGCGUUACUCGGAAUUACUGGGCGUAAAGCGUGCGUAGGUGGUGGUUUAAGUCCGUUGUGAAAGCCCUGGGCUCAACCUGGGAAUUGCAGUGGAUACUGGGUCACUAGAGUGUGGUAGAGGAUAGUGGAAUUUCCGGUGUAGCAGUGAAAUGCGUAGAGAUCGGAAGGAACAUCUGUGGCGAAGGCGACUAUCUGGGCCAACACUGGCACUGAGGCACGAAAGCGUGGGGAGCAAACAGGAUUAGAUACCCCAGUAGUCCCUGUCUCUUAUAA